AGCCUUUCGAAUCCGUGCAGAGAUUUCGUCUGAUACCAACCCAUUAGGGUUAAUCAUACUUCCAAGUUAAGUGAAGUU
This 78-nucleotide microRNA precursor is filed under the name Schistosoma mattheei. RNAcentral describes it as "mir-3492 microRNA precursor family". It matches the Rfam family "mir-3492 microRNA precursor family". The record is from Rfam by way of RNAcentral. Lineage: Eukaryota; Metazoa; Platyhelminthes; Trematoda; Strigeidida; Schistosomatidae.